This 492-nucleotide ribosomal RNA is filed under the name uncultured bacterium. RNAcentral describes it as "partial 16S ribosomal RNA". It matches the Rfam family "Bacterial small subunit ribosomal RNA", at positions 29 to 507 of the family's 1533-position model. The record is from RNAcentral.
AGUGAACGCUGGCGGUAGGCCUAACACAUGCAAGUCGAACGGCAGCACAGUAAGAGCUUGCUCUUACGGGUGGCGAGUGGCGGACGGGUGAGGAAUACAUCGGAAUCUACUUUUUCGUGGGGGAUAACGUAGGGAAACUUACGCUAAUACCGCAUACGACCUACGGGUGAAAGCAGGGGAUCUUCUGACCUUGCGCGAUUGAAUGAGCCGAUGUCGGAUUAGCUAGUUGGCGGGGUAAAGGCCCACCAAGGCGACGAUCCGUAGCUGGUCUGAGAGGAUGGUCGGCCACACUGGAACUGAGACACGGUCCAGGCUCCUACGGGAGGCAGCAGUGGGGAAUAUUGGACAAUGGGCGCAAGCCUGAUCCAGCCAUACCGCGUGGGUGAAGAAGGCCUUCGGGUUGUAAAGCCCUUUUGUUGGGAAAGAAAAGCAGCAGGUUAAUACCCCGCUGUUCUGACGGUACCCAAAGAAUAAGCACCGGCUAACUUCGUG